This 502-nucleotide ribosomal RNA is filed under the name uncultured bacterium. Its description in RNAcentral is "partial 16S ribosomal RNA". It matches the Rfam family "Bacterial small subunit ribosomal RNA", at positions 28 to 507 of the family's 1533-position model. The record is from RNAcentral.
GAUGAAUGCUGGCGGCGUGCCUAACACAUGCAAGUCGAGCGGCAGCGAGUUUUCCACUGAAUUCUGGAAGCUUCUGAGUAGUACAGAAGAUUUAUUCAAGAGUUUUGUGUAAAAUGUCGGCGAGCGGCGGACGGCUGAGUAACGCGUAGGAAUUUGCCCCAAAAUGAGGAAUAACUGCCCGAAAGGGUAGCUAAUGCCGCAUAUGGUCUUCGGAUUAAAGCCUUCGGGCGCUUUGGGAGAAGCCUGCGUUGGAUUAGGUAGUUGGUAGGGUAAUGGCCUACCAAGCCGACGAUCCAUAGCUGGUCUGAGAGGAUGAUCAGCCAGACUGGAACUGAGACACGGUCCAGACUCCUACGGGAAGCAGCAGUGAGGAAUCUUCCACAAUGGGCGAAAGCCUGAUGGAGCAACGCCGCGUGAAGGAUGAAGGCCUUCGGGUUGUAAACUUCUUUUAUGAGUGAAGAAUAUGACGGUAACUCAUGAAUAAGCACCGGCUAACUACGUG